UACGUAGGGUGCAAGCGUUGUCCGGAAUUAUUGGGCGUAAAGAGCUCGUAGGCGGUUUGUCACGUCGGAUGUGAAAACCCGGGGCUUAACCCCGGGCCUGCAUUCGAUACGGGCUGACUAGAGUUCGGCAGGGGAGACUGGAAUUCCUGGUGUAGCGGUGGAAUGCGCAGAUAUCAGGAGGGACACCGGUGGCGAAGGCGGGUCUCUGGGCAUUACCUGACGCUGAGGAGCGAAAGUGUGGGGAGCGAACAGG
RNAcentral lists this ribosomal RNA (253 nucleotides) under uncultured bacterium. RNAcentral's name for it is "partial 16S ribosomal RNA". It matches the Rfam family "Bacterial small subunit ribosomal RNA", at positions 524 to 776 of the family's 1533-position model. The record is from RNAcentral.